Molecule: ribosomal RNA, 253 nt
Filed under: uncultured bacterium
Lineage: Bacteria
Description: partial 16S ribosomal RNA
Rfam family: Bacterial small subunit ribosomal RNA
Source: RNAcentral
UACGUAGGGUGCGAGCGUUGUCCGGAAUUAUUGGGCGUAAAGGGCUCGUAGGCGGUUUGUCGCGUCGGGAGUGAAAACAUCCAGCUUAACUGGGUGCUUGCUUUCGAUACGGGCAGACUUGAGGUAUGCAGGGGAGAAUGGAAUUCCUGGUGUAGCGGUGAAAUGCGCAGAUAUCAGGAGGAACACCGGUGGCGAAGGCGGUUCUCUGGGCAUGAUCUGACGCUGAGGAGCGAAAGUGUGGGGAGCGAACAGG